This is a long non-coding RNA of Vidua macroura (Pin-tailed whydah), 1086 nucleotides long. RefSeq lists it as uncharacterized. Lineage: Eukaryota; Metazoa; Chordata; Aves; Passeriformes; Viduidae. The transcript is spliced from 2 exons. The record is from RefSeq and is a predicted model, not a curated record.
GUCUGGCUGGGGAGGGUGAAGUCGGUGAACUCGAACUCGGAGCCUUGCGUGUCGGCGCCGAGCAGCUCGGCCUCCUCGGUGUCCAGGAAGGAUAAAGCCCAGCCUGAAACGACGUGUACCAGAUCUGCAGCUGCUGGGCUGAAAAGAUGGAGACUGGAAAACAUCCUUGUCCUGGGAAUAUUGUGCAGCAAAAGGAGGGAAAAAAAAAAAAAACCAAACCCAGAGAACACAGGAGUCACCACUUCUGCAGAGAGGCUGAAUUCAUCUUACUUUUAAGGAGAAUAAAUUGUUCACAGCAAAGCAUAACGGGGAGAAAGCAUGAAAUAACAUUUGAGGAUGAAAGUGCAACCGGAGGGGGGGGGGGGGGAAAUAUAGUACAAAGCCAGGUGGAUGCUUGCUGCAAACACUUUUAUUUAUUAAUAAACACACCACACUCCAAACGUUUGGCUGCUUGACAGAAUCCUCAAAAAUCUUGGAAAGGGAUCAAAGUUCUGCUGCUCUGCCGGGUUCCUCUCCCUGUCCCUGCCACAGCUCGGGGAAUAACGGUGUGGAAAAGUCCCUCCUGUGCCAGCACGAGCCGGAUUUGUCCCCUGAGGGUGGCGUUGGGGACACUUCGGUGCUGCUGUCUGAGGUGCUGAAGCUGCAGAUCCCCCACCACGGCCUGCGUGGAACUGGGAAAGCAGCCGGAAAACCAAACUGGUUUCAACUGGAGGUUGAAAUUCUCUUUAUACCAACGCGGCGCAGAGGCACGUGAAUUUCGGGAUAACUCUGCUUCAUUGCAACGCUGGAAGCUCCGGGGGCCACUUUGAAGCUUUUAAAGAUAAAAUGGAUGCACAGCCAGGCUACAGAGCUGCCAGGCUGUAUGGUUUUUUUUUGCUUUUUUUUUUUUUUUUUUUUUUUGGUGUUUUGUGCAAGUUUUCUCCCUCAAAUCCGCGCUGCUGCAGAGGAGAGGCUGUGACUCACUGGGCUUGACUGCUGUGCAGCCAGGAUGGAAUUUAAACAGGCAAAAACUGGCACAAUUCCCUGCUGAGUUUCCCCAUGCCCCGGGCAGGUCAGAAGCUGGGAUUCACAAGAAGAGAAGAAACG